GUCGUAACAAGGUUUCCGUAGGUGAACCAGCGGGAGGAUCAUUAA
RNAcentral lists this ribosomal RNA (45 nucleotides) under Panonychus citri (citrus red mite). RNAcentral's name for it is "partial 18S ribosomal RNA". The record is from RNAcentral. Lineage: Eukaryota; Metazoa; Arthropoda; Arachnida; Trombidiformes; Tetranychidae.